GAUGAAAACGCAGCGAAAUGCGAUAAGUAAUGUGAAUUGCAGAAUUCCGUGAAUCAUCGAAUCUUUGAACGCACAUUGCGCCCCCUGGCAUUCCGGGGGGCAUGCCUGUCCGAGCGUCAUUUCUGCCCUCAAGCACGGCUUGUGUGUUGGGUGUGGUCCCCCCGGGGACCUGCCCGAAAGGCAGCGGCGACGUCCGUCUGGUCCUCGAGCGUAUGGGGCUCUGUCACUCGCUCGGGAAGGACCUGCGGGGGUUGGUCACCACUAUAUUUUACCACGGUUGACCUCGGAUCAGGUAGGAGUUACCCGCUGAACUUAAGCAUAUCAAUAAGCGGAGGA
This 336-nucleotide unclassified non-coding RNA is filed under the name soil metagenome. RNAcentral describes it as "partial contains 5.8S ribosomal RNA, internal transcribed spacer 2, and large subunit ribosomal RNA". The stretch from base 1 to 119 matches the Rfam family "5.8S ribosomal RNA", at positions 35 to 154 of the family's 154-position model. The record is from RNAcentral.